RNA transcript from Cynoglossus semilaevis (tongue sole), 4579 nucleotides. It is a transcript of the gene named chromosome 14 C8orf74 homolog, with no coding region annotated. The record is from RefSeq and is a predicted model, not a curated record. NCBI's taxonomy places the organism in Eukaryota, Metazoa, Chordata, Actinopteri, Pleuronectiformes, Cynoglossidae. The transcript has 6 exons.
CAUGACAACUAUAUUUACAUUAAUAAUGUAUAUACCGCAUACUUAAUUUAAUGUGGAAGAAAGGAAAUGAUUCACACCACGACUAAAUAAUAAUAGCCUCAGAAAAACUGAUGCCUUUUAAAGACACAAAGUUUUCUGAAAACCUAAGAAUUCUGUAAAUCAACACAUCUCAAUAGAACAAAGGAUCGAAGACAUUAAUUAAAAAAAGAUGUGUUUUGUUUUGGCAGUUUGCGAUUCUCACCUGUUAUUUCCGGUUUCUCCAGCGCUAGACGUCCGACGGAUGUGACGUCAAUGCGUGAACAAUGUGCUGGCGUCUGUCUCCUAUGGUAACAGUGGAGGAAAACGGUCUUUACAUGCCGAUUUGGUCGUAGAAAAUGGAUGAAAAUGACGAGGACCUAACUCGUCUUGUUCCAGCGUUAACACAGUUAAUGAAGCUGCAGAGAGCUGAAGGUCUGCGGCUUCUCUCUUUUCUCUUCUCCUGGUCUGAGUACACUGAAGAACGUUGUGAUUUUCAUCAGGAGUUUGUGUAUGACAUCACCACGUUUGCUGCGUCUCGAGGUCUCUCCUGGCCUGACGUGGCUCGAACUGCCAUCACUGCUAAAUCCAUCUUCCCAAAAUUGGAUGGUGUGGAUGCAGCUAAACUUUUGUCUCUGCUCAGAGAUGCUCUCUGUGAUUGUCUUCCAAACCUGUCCCCCCUCCAACGACAUGAAUUCACACGUUUUCUUACUGAGACAUGUGUCAGUCGACACAGACUGUUCCAGGCUGUAGUAAGUGGAGCUGGAAACAUAACCAUUGAGAAGCUUCAGCUGGAGCUGCAGCUGCCACCUACACCACUACCUUUGGCACAGGGCACAGAACAGCAUGAGUGGGAAUGUCAGCUCCAAAUAGCACAAGUCUCUUCAAAACUCCAUAUAAAGGAAGAGAAGCUAAGGAAUCUGCGAGAAGGAUUAAGAGUCACUGUCCAAGUUGAAGAACAUUCUGAAGAUGACCAGCUGGACCAAGAGAAUAUCAUGGAACUGGUGCGAGAAGCUGUGAAAGCUUCUGAGGAGCAGAUGAUGAAGAGUCUGGACCAGGAGACGUCUCUGCUUAGUGAGAUUGUACAGCUAAGACUGCAGUUGGAAGAUUUACAAAGCGAAAUGCUUCAAAGUAAUCAUGACACAGCAACAAAACGUCCAGAUAAGUCUUCCAAGACAAAAGCAAAAGAGACACCAAAAACCCGACGAAGAUAGUAGGAAAAAUGAAACUACUCCUUUAAUUGUAAUAAUUUUAUUACAAAUACACCAUGCUGUGUUUGGUUGCCUUUAAUAUUUAUUUAAAAAAUCAGUAAUUGUGCUACUUUAAACUAUAUUUAAAUGUAUUUUGGCCAAGUUUUAAGUGUCCUGAACAUCAUUCUUCUCUUUGUUGUAUUUUUUUUUCACUUUUAGGAAUUAUUGUAAAAUGUUCGUUUGUUGAUAUAAAUUUACCAAUAGUCAUUUCAUCCAAUAAAAAAAUGGUAUUACCCAUAUAAAAUGUUCGAACGUCUCGUAAAAAACACUCCUCUCCACAGUAAACAGACAAAAAAUGUCUGCCUUCCUGUUGUUUCUCUAAUUGCUUAACAGCGCCCCCACUCAAUUCUUUUAGCAGAUAGCGCAAAGUCAGUGUGGUUAGAAAGAGUACUGUAGUUUUGCUGAGCUGUGAGGUGAAGCUGCAGGUGUAGUGCAACGGAAGUGAUUGAAGAUGACCUAGCUUUCCAGCUAUGUACAACUUUGGUUUUUAUGAAGUCAAAAUUCGAAGAAAACCUUCAUUCAAAACUGGUGAUGAUGAUGGGAAAGGCGCUGAUAACAAUAAUAAAAACAACGACAGUAACAAGAGGCGCAAGAAAAAAAAAGAGAUAAAGCAACAGAAGAAAAACGUCAGACCGAUUGACUAAUGGCGGCCAGUGCAGCCCGGUGUCCAACAAAUGGCUGCGGCUGCGCUCGACCAGGCCUUGGCCUGGACACAGAUCAAUAUUUCACCAUUUAAAAUCUAUCACAGGAGGAUUUUUUUUUCUUCUUCUCCUCCACCACUGCCACCGAAUCAGACGCUGUGCAGUUACAACCAGUAAUCAAUAAGGCAGCACCUUUCACAGAUCCCCAGCACCGUCGCCUUGCUGCAGUGAUGGAUAGCGAGGAAGGCCGCGCUUCAUUUUGUCAGGCCAUUUACGCUUCGGGCGAAUCCUGUCCACUUCAUCCCUCCAGACGAUCAUUUUUCACACUUCAUAAGGAGCAGGAGUGGAGGAUAAGGAGGAGGAAGAAGACAAAGAGAGGAGGCGCACAGAAAGAGAGAGAGAGAGAUAGAGAGAGGGAAACAAACUGAAGAAUGUGGAACGAGGUGGAAGAAGGAGAUGCAGAAAGUGAGGGGGAGGAGAGAACAAGAGUGAUGACAGACUGAUGGUUGGAGAAAGCAGAGGUUUGGAGCAGACUCAGCGGCUCCUGCAGCCAUUUUAGGAUUUUUUUUCUCCAUAAAACCAGACAAAUAGAAUCGUAAUAAAAAAUAACUUAUGGUUUAUAUCCUACUGAUUUAUCACAAGCGUUGCUUUUAGGUGAAAUGUGCAACUAAAGCCCUUAGGAAAGAGGCAAAAAAUGGCUGCCAUGGUGGACACUUCCGAAAUAAGACCUUUUUUUCCCCCACUUAUUUUACAAAAAAAAUUGCUUUGAUCUACAAUAUGUAAUGAUAGUCGUGGUUUCACUAUUUGAUUGUGUGCAGUUGAUUUGUAAAACAAAAACAUUAACUUUAAGCAAAUAGUUGCUCCUAAACUCUAACACUACAUGAAAAACAGUUUCAGGUCAUUGAUCCACCGCUUCCAUAAUCAAUUAGUUUACAUUUUUACUUCUGCAGCUUCAGUGUUUGAAUUAGUUCAUUUAGGUCAUGUGCAGUGACACACACUGACCACAGGAGGCAGCAGUAGAGCAGCAGCUACUUUGUCCCAUUAAGCUACUGUAUAAUUGCUCUGUGGGUUUGUCUAGUGAGGGAGCAAGACUUUUACAAAGCUAUACAUUUUCAGCUAACUCUGUGAAAAAUGACUAGGAUCGUUUGCUGUUGUUUCUCCACUGGCAGCCACAUUUCCACUAAUUGUGUACCUUGUUUUCUUUCACCUCCUGUGAUUUGCAUAAACGUCUCCUCCUCCUCUCUUUCCUGGCUCACUUCCCAAAGAUGCUCAGUGUUCGUGUUGGAUCCAUCUUUCCUUUGGAGAAACAGGCGACAGCUGCUCUGUCUCUGUGUGUGUGUGUGUGUGUGUGUGUGUGUGUAUGUCUCACCUGCUGGCAGGCGAGGAUUAUGAGCUACAAGCUCUUAUUAAAACUGGAUUUGUUUACCCUCCCGCUCGCUCUUCACACAACAACAACAAUGUGACCUGAUCGUGAACAAACCUACAGCCAAAAGUCAGUACAACAGGACCUGGGUAUCCCGUCAAUACAGAAGACAGUCUUGAAAUGAUUUAGUGUUUGACACACCUGAACCUGGUUUUGUGUUGCCUCAACCUGCUGAUAGUCCAUAAAGAACCUUUUCAUAUUGUAGUAAUGGACAUACACAGGAGGCGCUGCUGGUCCACUGCUUCCUAAUGUGGUUUUGUUUGUGUUACUGAAGUAAAUUUAUAGACCGGAUUCCAAACAGUGAGGUCACGGAACAACACGUUUAACCUCUCUGAUCGAGGCAACAGUGAAUCAACAACUGCUCUACACUGUGUUGUAAAAGUGCUAAUUAUCUCCAUGGAGUUUGAUGUGGGAGAGUGAUCUAAUUACACACUAAUUAUCUUCACCACACAAAACAUUAGUUCACAGCUUUCUUUAACCACUAAAUACAAUUUGUUUUACCAUCCUGUCUGCGUAUUAUUUAUUUCAAAUUAAUACUGGUUACCAAUACUUAACCUAUGAGAAAGUCAAUGUUCAGAGAAGGUGGUCUUCUGCUGCUUUGUCUCGUCAUUCUGGGUCACUGAGGUGAAUUAAAAACAAACAAACGUGGUUUUAAAUGGUGAAGUUGCAAACAGUCUGAACUCAGUGAUGGGAGCAUUAACCACUGCUGUGUCCCUCUGAACUGAAACUACUGAUGUUCUCUAUGGACUGUGGUGUUUGGUGGUUUGGUGUCAGGUUCACUGUAGUUUAUAUUAGGACUCACCAUUAAACAAAACCCAGUUGUUGCUUUUAGUGUGGAAGGAAACCAGAGCUGCUGGUGCCUCUCCAGUCAGAAUUAUGAAACAUUCAAAUGAGAAAUCAUUUAAUUAUACAUUUGAACACACAGACAGCAGCUUUUCAAAGAAUAAAGAUUGAUUGCAUUUUUUGGUUAUAGUUUUGAGGCCAAAAAAAUUACAAUUUGAUUAUAUACUUUUUGGAUCAUUUAUAAGACUGUCUAAGCAUAAAGUAAAGCAGUUAACACCUUCAAAAUAUGAUGUUUUUUUGGUUCGUCUACUAGUGAGCGGCCACAUUUUUUUUUUAUCCUCACAUGAUUAUUUUUACAUGUUACCUGCAAAGCUCAUCGUUCGUUCCCCUUCUCAGUGACCCACAUGAAAAGUGUUUCCCGACAGAUCAGACACUGAUCCUCAACGUCUACACAUGAAGGGCUUUCA